This 499-nucleotide ribosomal RNA is filed under the name uncultured bacterium. RNAcentral describes it as "partial 16S ribosomal RNA". It matches the Rfam family "Bacterial small subunit ribosomal RNA", at positions 28 to 507 of the family's 1533-position model. The record is from RNAcentral.
GACGAACGCUGGCGGCGUGCCUAAUACAUGCAAGUCGAGCGAAGUUUUUCUGGUGCUUGCACUAGAAAAACUUAGCGGCGAACGGGUGAGUAACACGUGAAGAACCUGCCUCAUAGACUGGGACAACUAUUGGAAACGAUAGCUAAUACCGGAUAACAGCAUUAACUGCAUGGUUGAUGUUUAAAAGUUGGUUUUGCUAACACUAUGAGAUGGCUUUGCGGUGCAUUAGCUAGUUGGUGGGGUAAAGGCCUACCAAGGCGACGAUGCAUAGCCGACCUGAGAGGGUGAUCGGCCACACUGGGACUGAGACACGGCCCAGACUCCUACGGGAGGCAGCAGUAGGGAAUCUUCCGCAAUGGGCGAAAGCCUGACGGAGCAACGCCGCGUGAGUGAAGAAGGAUUUCGGUUCGUAAAGCUCUGUUGUUAGGGAAGAAUGAUUGUGUAGUAACUAUACACAGUAGAGACGGUACCUAACCAGAAAGCCACGGCUAACUACGUG